Molecule: long non-coding RNA, 483 nt
Organism: Eptesicus fuscus (big brown bat)
Lineage: Eukaryota; Metazoa; Chordata; Mammalia; Chiroptera; Vespertilionidae
Exons: 3
Source: RefSeq, a predicted model, not a curated record
AAGAACUUCCUCUGGUUCCAUCUGUGUUCCCGGUGCUGGCACGGUGCUUGGCUCCAAACAUCCUGGGACAGGCCCAGAAGGGGAACCCUUCAGCUGAUGGGUAUUUCCUGCCAGAGACUAAAGGCCCCAGUAAAGGAAGUUCUAUUGUUGCCUCAAUGAGGAUGGAGAGUGGAAGGGCUGCUCAAAGUCAAGCUGCAACCACUGGAAGGAAAGGCACCCUGGGGAGGCUAGAGAAGAAGCUUCCAAAGAAAUGAGCCCAGGUCUGUCCACGGCCUGUCCCGGUGUCCCAGGAGGGAAGUUUCAGGGCAGGUGACAUCAGCACAUAGAUGGAGUGAAGAUAUGAACUAGAGCACAACACAAGAGAGGAGCAUGAAGAAGAAAUAGCAAAAGAAGGGAGAUAGGAAGGAAAAGAGGGUGGUGACGAGGAGGGGAGGACAGGACAAACAUGAACAGUCCUGUUUGUGGAAAGAUGCAAGCAGGGCA